Molecule: ribosomal RNA, 1302 nt
Filed under: metagenome
Description: bacterial LSU rRNA
Rfam family: Bacterial large subunit ribosomal RNA
Source: RNAcentral
AAGAAAAGCAUCUAGAGAGAGAAGUAGUGCCCGUACCGCAAACCGACACAGGUAGAUGAGGAGAGAAUCCUAAGGCCGGCGGAAGAAUUGCAGUUAAGGAACUAGGCAAAUUGACCCCGUAAGUUAGCGAGAAGGGGUGCCUACGAGAGUAGGCCGCAGAGAAUAGGCCCAAGCAACUGUUUAGCAAAAACACAGGUCUCUGCUAAAGCGCAAGCUGAUGUAUAGGGGCUGACGCCUGCCCGGUGCUGGAAGGUUAAGGGGAACACUUAGCGCAAGCGGAGGUGUGAACUUAAGCCCCAGUAAACGGCGGCCGUAACAAUAACGGUCCUAAGGUAGCGAAAUUCCUUGUCAGGUAAGUUCUGACCCGCACGAAUGGCGUAAUGACUUGGGCACUGUCUCAACUGCAAAUCCGGCGAAGUUGUAGUGUGAGUGAAGAUGCUCGCUACCCGCGAUUGGACGGAAAGACCCCGUAGAGCUUUACUGUAGCUUAGCAUUGAAUUCCGGUAUUGUCUGUACAGGAUAGGUGGGAGACUGGGAAACUAGGGCGUCAGCCUUAGUGGAGUCAUCCUUGGGAUACCACCCUGACAGUACUGGGGUUCUAACAGGAUGCCAUGAAUCUGGUGACUGGACAUUGUUAGGUGGGCAGUUUGACUGGGGCGGUCGCCUCCUAAAAAGUAACGGAGGCGCCCAAAGGUUCCCUCAGAACGGUCGGAAGUCGUUCGUAGAGUGCAAAGGCAGAAGGGAGCCUGACUGCGAGACCUACAAGUCGAGCAGGGACGAAAGUCGGGCUUAGUGAUCCGGUGUACCUCGUGGGAGGGCCAUCGCUCAACGGAUAAAAGCUACCUCGGGGAUAACAGGCUGAUCUCCCCCAAGAGUCCACAUCGACGGGGAGGUUUGGCACCUCGAUGUCGGCUCGUCGCAUCCUGGGGCUGUAGUAGGUCCCAAGGGUUGGGCUGUUCGCCCAUUAAAGCGGCACGCGAGCUGGGUUCAGAACGUCGUGAGACAGUUCGGUCCCUAUCCGUCGCGGGCGUAGGAAAUUUGAGAGGAGCUGUCCUUAGUACGAGAGGACCGGGAUGGACUGACCUCUGGUGCACCAGUUGUUCUGCCAAGAGCAUGGCUGGGUAGCUAAGUCGGGAAGGGAUAAACGCUGAAAGCAUCUAAGCGUGAAGCCUCCCUCAAGAUGAGAUUUCCCAUAGUCGAAAGACUAGUAAGACCCCUUGAAGAACACGAGGUUGAUAGGUCAGAGGUGUAAGUGUGGUAACAUAUUUAGCUGACUGAUACUAAUAGGUCGAGGGCUUGAUC